RNAcentral lists this ribosomal RNA (875 nucleotides) under uncultured bacterium. RNAcentral's name for it is "bacterial SSU rRNA". It matches the Rfam family "Bacterial small subunit ribosomal RNA", at positions 28 to 896 of the family's 1533-position model. The record is from RNAcentral.
AUUGAACGCUGGCGGCGUGCCUAACACAUGCAAGUCGAGUGGUAACAGGUGUAGCAAUACAUGCUGACGAGCGGCGAACGGGUGAGUAAUGCUUUGGAAUCUUCCCAGUAGUGGGGAAUAACCAGUCGAAAGAUUGGCUAAUACCGCAUACGUCUGUAAAGGGAAAGCGGGGGCUCGUAAGACCUCGCGCUAUUGGAUGAGCCAAAGUCGGAUUAGCUAGUUGGUGGGGUAAUGGCCUACCAAGGCGACAAUCCGUAGCUGGUCUGAGAGGACGACCAGCCACACCGGAACUGAGACACGGUCCGGACUCCUACGGGAGGCAGCAGUGGGGAAUAUUGGACAAUGGGGGAAACCCUGAUCCAGCGACGCCGCGUGUGUGAAGAAGGCCUGCGGGUUGUAAAGCACUUUUAGUGGGGACAAAAAGCUACGGAUUAAUACUCUGUGGUCUUGAUUUAACCCAAAGAAAAAGCACCGGCUAACUCUGUGCCAGCAGCCGCGGUAAUACAGAGGGUGCGAGCGUUAAUCGGAAUUACUGGGCGUAAAGCGCGCGUAGACGGUUUUGUAAGUCAGAUGUGAAAUCCCUGGGCUCAACCUGGGAACUGCAUUUGAAACUGCAUGGCUAGAGUAUCGAAGAGGGAAGUGGAAUUUCCGGUGUAGCGGUGAAAUGCGUAGAUAUCGGAAGGAACACCAGUGGCGAAAGCGACUUCCUGGUCGAAUACUGACGUUCAUGUGCGAAAGCGUGGGGAGCAAACAGGAUUAGAUACCCUGGUAGUCCACGCCAUAAACGAUGACAACUAGAUGUUGGGAGGGUCUGCCUCUCGGUGUCGCAGCUAACGCGUUAAGUUGUCCGCCUGGGGAGUACGGCCGCAAGGUUG